RNAcentral lists this ribosomal RNA (263 nucleotides) under uncultured bacterium. RNAcentral's name for it is "partial 16S ribosomal RNA". It matches the Rfam family "Bacterial small subunit ribosomal RNA", at positions 76 to 339 of the family's 1533-position model. The record is from RNAcentral.
CUUGCUACAGAUGCUGCUAGCGGCGGACGGGUGAGUAAUGAAUAAGUAAUUUGCCUACUUGUUGGGAUAACCCUAGGAAACUAGAGCUAAUACCGAAUAAGCUUGUCUUUUCACAUGUUAAGACAAGGAAAGGAUUUUUCGCAAGUAGAGAGGCUUAUUUCUGAUUAGCUUGUUGGUAAGGUAAUGGCUUACCAAGGCUACGAUCAGUAGCUGGUCUGAGAAGAUGAUCAGCCACACUGGGACUGAGACACGGCCCAGACUCC